Molecule: long non-coding RNA, 304 nt
Organism: Salvia splendens (bonfire salvia)
Lineage: Eukaryota; Viridiplantae; Streptophyta; Magnoliopsida; Lamiales; Lamiaceae
Exons: 4
Source: RefSeq, a predicted model, not a curated record
CCCGUAUCUCAACCUCCUUUCCCCUAUAUUAAAUCUUCAACCAUUACUUAUUUUCCUCACCUAUCGUCUCCGCAAGCAAGAAUCAUCCUUCAACUUCUACUCAAGAAAUUGAAAUCCUUUCGGCAUCAAGACCCUGCCUUUUUAGCUUUGUGAACUUCACAACCCAAACUCAUUCACAGAGGUGAGACUUCGCAAGGGAAUCGAGAUACCAAAGGGAAGGAAGUGUAGAGAAUUAAGCAAUUGAGGUUGAGCGGCGACGAGGAUGUGGUGGUGUUGAGCUAGUGAAUUUAAGAUAUAGUGGUUG